CUCCAAGGCUAAAUACUCCUGACUGACCGAUAGUGAACCAGUACCGUGAGGGAAAGGCGAAAAGAACCCCGGCGAGGGGAGUGAAAAAGAACCUGAAACCGUGUACGUACAAGCAGUGGGAGCCUCUUAAUGGGGUGACUGCGUACCUUUUGUAUAAUGGGUCAGCGACUUAUAUUCUGUAGCAAGGUUAACCGAAUAGGGGAGCCGAAGGGAAACCGAGUCUUAACUGGGCGUUAAGUUGCAGGGUAUAGACCCGAAACCCGGUGAUCUAGCCAUGGGCAGGUUGAAGGUUGGGUAACACUAACUGGAGGACCGAACCGACUAAUGUUGAAAAAUUAGCGGAUGACUUGUGGCUGGGGGUGAAAGGCCAAUCAAACCGGGAGAUAGCUGGUUCUCCCCGAAAGCUAUUUAGGUAGCGCCUCGUGAAUUCAUCUCCGGGGGUAGAGCACUGUUUCGGCAAGGGGGUCAUCCCGACUUACCAACCCGAUGCAAACUGCGAAUACCGGAGAAUGUUAUCACGGGAGACACACGGCGGGUGCUAACGUCCGUCGUGAAGAGGGAAACAACCCAGACCGCCAGCUAAGGUCCCAAAGUCAUGGUUAAGUGGGAAACGAUGUGGGAAGGCCCAGACAGCCAGGAUGUUGGCUUAGAAGCAGCCAUCAUUUAAAGAAAGCGUAAUAGCUCACUGGUCGAGUCGGCCUGCGCGGAAGAUGUAACGGGGCUAAACCAUGCACCGAAGCUGCGGCAGCGACACUAUGUGUUGUUGGGUAGGGGAGCG
RNAcentral lists this ribosomal RNA (778 nucleotides) under Escherichia coli. Its description in RNAcentral is "partial 23S ribosomal RNA". It matches the Rfam family "Bacterial large subunit ribosomal RNA", at positions 458 to 1238 of the family's 2925-position model. The record is from RNAcentral. Lineage: Bacteria; Pseudomonadati; Pseudomonadota; Gammaproteobacteria; Enterobacterales; Enterobacteriaceae.